ACGAGAGCGGGCAAACGCGGCGCUUUUCUCGCAGUAUCGUGUUGACCCUUGAACAGAGAGGAUUCGCGUCGCGUGUCGUCGAAUUAAAAAUAAAAAAAAAAAUAUUUUUUUUUUUUCUAAUCCUCAUCUAUCUCACUCUCUCUCUUUCUCAUUUUCACUCUCUCGGUCUCCCUCUGUCUCUCUCUUUCUCUCGUAUAAAAAUAACAAAUUUUAGAAUCGUGCGUGCGCGUUAGUGCGAGUGCUGCGUGCAGUGCAACGUGUGCGGUGCGUUGCGUUGCGUUGCGUUGCGUUACGGUACGGUGCGGUGCGGUACGUGUGCGGUACGUGUGCGGUACGUGGUGAGCGCGCGCGCGCGCGCUUACUCGCGAACGUGAAACGUGAGAAGCUCCCGUUGCGUUUCUAAUUUCUCUUCGCUUUUGGUACACACAGACACACACACAUAGACAGACACAUAAACCCGUUCAUUUUCGUUUUUCGUUAUUCGUCGUUCGUCGUCCGACGACGAAACCAAAUUCGUGCGCGAACACAAGAGAAAAAUAAAAAAAACAAAUCCUUCAACGAAAAUUUUAGAGAGAUAGAGAGAGAUGAAUAAAUCAUUGAAAUCGAAAUAAGAUGUGUGAUAUGUGAGGUGUUAUUAAGUUAUACUAUAUAUAUUUUUACUUAUCUACUUUGUUCUACUAUCUAUCUAUUUAUCUACGUAAAUAUCUCAAACUCUUUCGAACGUUUUACAUUGUACAUCUCAUUCGUGAAGAAGGAAGAAGAAAAAAAGAUUUAAAAAAAAAAAAAAA
Molecule: long non-coding RNA, 788 nt
Organism: Polistes dominula (European paper wasp)
Lineage: Eukaryota; Metazoa; Arthropoda; Insecta; Hymenoptera; Vespidae
Source: RefSeq, a predicted model, not a curated record